Myotis davidii is the source of this 733-nucleotide long non-coding RNA. RefSeq lists it as uncharacterized. NCBI's taxonomy places the organism in Eukaryota, Metazoa, Chordata, Mammalia, Chiroptera, Vespertilionidae. The transcript is spliced from 3 exons. The record is from RefSeq and is a predicted model, not a curated record.
CCAUUCCCCUGAGAUUAACCAAGAGGAGAGGAGACGGCCGUCCUCGUCUGGCUGCCUUGGGCUCCACGACGCGCCUCUAGUGCUGCUUGCGGGUUCCCCUGCGCCCCGUCUCUCCCACCUUCCUCUCCUGGCUGCCCGCUGGCCUGGACGGGCAUGUCUCCUUGGCCAGGCUGAACGAGGACUGGAAUGACAUUGACCCGAUUAAGAAGAAAGACCUGCACCACAGCAACAUGGAAGAGAGAGGACAGAGCGUGGAGACCCUCCCUCCAGGCAAAGUGCGGUGGCGAGACUUCAACCAGGAAGCGUACGUCGGGGGGACCAUGGUCCGCUCCGGGCAGGACCCCUACGCCCGCAACAAGUUCAACCAAGUGGAGAGCGACAAACUGCGGAUGGACAGGGCCAUCCCCGACACCAGGCACGACCAGUGAGUACCGAGUGGGUGUGACCUGGGCCGCCUGCUUCCCACGGCCCCACCCGGGCAGUGGCUGUCCCUGCGGCGACGCUCACCGUGGCGGCCGCCCUGGGAAACGGAACACUGUGGUGUCUUCGCUGGGCAGUCAGCGUGGACCGACUCGGAGGCGCGUGGCAGUGGACCUGCCCCCGCAGGAGCGAGGACCCGGGCGGGGCCGGAUUCUAGUCCAGGUGCCCGUGGCCGGACCUGGAGGCUGGGUUGCUGGCCGGCACGUGGGAACCGGCAGGAGAAAGUUGUGUUAAAAUAUACUCACAAAACAAG